Molecule: long non-coding RNA, 235 nt
Organism: Maylandia zebra (zebra mbuna)
Lineage: Eukaryota; Metazoa; Chordata; Actinopteri; Cichliformes; Cichlidae
Source: RefSeq, a predicted model, not a curated record
GACGGAAGAUCGCUGAUGAGGAAAAGCAGAAAGAAAUAAUUUAACUGAGCUUGAAAUGAAACAAGAGCUAGCGAAUCUCUGCUGGACAGCAGCGUGUCACUGUAGGAGCUGCUCAGUGCUGCUAGGAUGACCUGCAUGUGGUGGGAGUUAUUACACUGGUAUAGUAUGACUAUGUCACCUGCAGCCUCCAGCAGUACCAGUUACCUGAGACCACACAUCUCAGCGACGUGUGCGU